RNAcentral lists this ribosomal RNA (843 nucleotides) under uncultured bacterium. RNAcentral's name for it is "bacterial SSU rRNA". It matches the Rfam family "Bacterial small subunit ribosomal RNA", at positions 58 to 916 of the family's 1533-position model. The record is from RNAcentral.
CAAGUCGAGCGAUGAAGCACCUUCGGGUGUGAAUUAGCGGCGAACGGGUGAGGAACACGUGAGAAAUCUGCCUUCAACUCUGGGAUAACUCCGUGAAAACGGGGCUAAUACCGGAUAUGAGAUCUACAGGCAUCUGUGGAUCUGGAAAGUUUUUCGGUUGAAGAUGAUCUCGCGGCCUAUCAGCUUGUUGGUGAGGUAAUGGCUCACCAAGGCGACGACGGGUAGCCGGCCUGAGAGGGCGACCGGCCACACUGGGACUGAGACACGGCCCAGACUCCUACGGGAGGCAGCAGUGGGGAAUAUUGGGCAAUGGAGGAAACUCUGACCCAGCGACGCCGCGUGCGGGAUGAAGGCCUUCGGGUUGUAAACCGCUUUCAGCAGGGAAGAAGCGAAAGUGACGGUACCUGCAGAAGAAGCACCGGCUAACUAUGUGCCAGCAGCCGCGGUAAUACAUAGGGUGCAAGCGUUGUCCGGAAUUAUUGGGCGUAAAGAGCUCGUAGGUGGUUCGUCACGUCGGAUGUGAAACUCUGGGGCUUAACCCCAGACCUGCAUUCGAUACGGGCGAGCUUGAGUAUGGUAGGGGAGUCUGGAAUUCCUGGUGUAGCGGUGGAAUGCGCAGAUAUCAGGAGGAACACCAAUGGCGAAGGCAGGACUCUGGGCCAUUACUGACACUGAGGAGCGAAAGCGUGGGGAGCGAACAGGAUUAGAUACCCUGGUAGUCCACGCCGUAAACGGUGGGCACUAGUUGUGGGGACCUUCCACGGUCUCUGCGACGCAGCUAACGCAUUAAGUGCCCCGCCUGGGGAGUACGAUCGCAAGAUUAAAACUCAAAGGAAUUGACGG